CCUACGGGAGGCUGCAGUGGGGAAUAUUGGACAAUGGGGGGAACCCUGAUCCAGCCAUGCCGCGUGUGUGAAGAAGGCCCUCGGGUUGUAAAGCACUUUCAGUGAGGAAGAACGCCUGGUGGUUAAUACCCAUCAGGAAAGACAUCACUCACAGAAGAAGCACCGGCUAACUCCGUGCCAGCAGCCGCGGUAAUACGGAGGGUGCGAGCGUUAAUCGGAAUUACUGGGCGUAAAGCGCGCGUAGGUGGCUUGAUAAGCCGGUUGUGAAAGCCCCAGGCUCAACCUGGGAACGGCAUCCGGAACUGUCAAGCUAGAGUGCAGGAGAGGAAGGUAGAAUUCCCGGUGUAGCGGUGAAAUGCGUAGAGAUCGGGAGGAAUACCAGUGGCGAAGGCGGCCUUCUGGACUGACACUGACACUGAGGUGCGAAAGCGUGGGUAGCAAACAGGAUUAGAUACCCUAGUAGUC
Molecule: ribosomal RNA, 465 nt
Filed under: Vreelandella stevensii
Lineage: Bacteria; Pseudomonadati; Pseudomonadota; Gammaproteobacteria; Oceanospirillales; Halomonadaceae
Description: partial 16S ribosomal RNA
Rfam family: Bacterial small subunit ribosomal RNA
Source: RNAcentral